UGUGAAGAAAAAAAAUGCUGAGAAUUGAACAAAGCAUACAUGCCACACAACCAAGGAUCUUUGGCUUUCUUGGUGGUCCGCAAUGAGAUUGAGGAGAAGAAACUUAAUGCGGAGGAAUGUGAUCGAACUAGCUUUUUUAAAUUCACCCAUUUCAAAGAAGGAAAGGGUUGGAUGCCCCUAGAAGCUGAGCUACUAUAGGAGUGAUACCUGAUGUAAUUUGGAAAGCAAAUAUUACGGAUGUACAAAAUGGCAAGCUGGGAU
Molecule: long non-coding RNA, 261 nt
Organism: Pistacia vera
Lineage: Eukaryota; Viridiplantae; Streptophyta; Magnoliopsida; Sapindales; Anacardiaceae
Exons: 3
Source: RefSeq, a predicted model, not a curated record